RNAcentral lists this Y RNA (114 nucleotides) under Microcebus murinus (gray mouse lemur). RNAcentral describes it as "Y RNA (ENSMICG00000042098.1)". It matches the Rfam family "Y RNA". From Rfam's summary of the family: Y RNAs are components of the Ro ribonucleoprotein particle (Ro RNP), in association with Ro60 and La proteins. The Y RNAs and Ro60 and La proteins are well conserved, but the function of the Ro RNP is not known. The record is from Rfam by way of RNAcentral. Lineage: Eukaryota; Metazoa; Chordata; Mammalia; Primates; Cheirogaleidae.
GGCUGGUCCGAAGGUAGUAAGUUAUCUCACAUGAUUGUUCACAGUCAGUUACAGAUUGAACUCCUUGUUCUACUAUUUUCCCCCCUCCUCACUACUGCACUUGACUAGUCUUAA